Molecule: ribosomal RNA, 497 nt
Filed under: uncultured bacterium
Lineage: Bacteria
Description: partial 16S ribosomal RNA
Rfam family: Bacterial small subunit ribosomal RNA
Source: RNAcentral
ACGCACGCUGGCGGCGUGCCUAAUACCUGCAAGUCGCACGAGAGCGACCGGUGCUUGCACUGGUCAAUCUAGUGGCGAACGGGUGAGUAACACGUGGGUAACCUGCUCAUCAGAGGGGGAUAACAUCCGGAAACGGAUGCUAAAACCGCAUAGGUCUUCGAGCCGCAUGGCUUGAAGAGGAAAAGAGGCGCAAGCUUCUGCUGAUGGAUGGACCCGCGGUGCAUUAGCUAGUUGGUGAGGUAACGGCUCACCAAGGCCGUGAUGCAUAGCCGACCUGAGAGGGUGAUCGGCCACAUUGGGACUGAGACACGGCCCAAACUCCUACGGGAGGCAGCAGUAGGGAAUCUUCCGCAAUGGACGCAAGUCUGACGGAGCAACGCCGCGUGAGUGAAGAAGGUUUUCGGAUCGUAAAACUCUGUUGUUAGAGAAGAACAAGUGCUAGAGUAACUGUUAGCGCCUUGACGGUAUCUAACCAGAAAGCCACGGCUAACUACGUG